GAUGAAGAACGUAGCGAAAUGCGAUAAGUAAUGUGAAUUGCAGAAUUCAGUGAAUCAUCGAAUCUUUGAACGCACAUUGCGCCCGCCAGUAUUCUGGCGGGCAUGCCUGUUCGAGCGUCAUUACAACCCUCAGGCCCCCGGGCCUGGCGUUGGGGAUCGGCGGAGCCCCCCGUGGGCACACGCCGUCCCCCAAAUGCAGUGGCGGUCCCGCCGCAGCUUCCAUCGCGUAGUAGCUAACACCUCGCGACUGGAGAGCGGCGCGGCCACGCCGUAAAACACCCAACUCUUCUGAAGUUGACCUCGAAUCAGGUAGGAAUACCCGCUGAACUUAAGCAUAUAAUAAGCGGAGGA
Molecule: unclassified non-coding RNA, 351 nt
Filed under: soil metagenome
Description: partial contains 5.8S ribosomal RNA, internal transcribed spacer 2, and large subunit ribosomal RNA
Rfam family: 5.8S ribosomal RNA (bases 1-120)
Source: RNAcentral